This 442-nucleotide ribosomal RNA is filed under the name uncultured bacterium. RNAcentral describes it as "bacterial SSU rRNA". It matches the Rfam family "Bacterial small subunit ribosomal RNA", at positions 30 to 494 of the family's 1533-position model. The record is from RNAcentral.
AUUGAACGCUGGCGGAAUGCUUUACACAUGCAAGUCGAACGGUAGAGGGGGCAACCCCUCGAGAGUGGCGAACGGGUGAGUAAUAUAUCGGAACGUGCCCAGUCGUGGGGGAUAACGUAGCGAAAGUUACGCUAAUACCGCAUACGAUCUACGGAUGAAAGCGGGGGAUCGCAAGACCUCGCGCGAUUGGAGCGGCCGAUAUCAGAUUAGGUAGUUGGUGGGGUAAAGGCUCACCAAGCCAACGAUCUGUAGCUGGUCUGAGAGGACGACCAGCCACACUGGGACUGAGACACGGCCCAGACUCCUACGGGAGGCAGCAGUGAGGAAUCUUCCACAAUGGGCGAAAGCCUGAUGGAGCAAUACCGCGUGCAGGAUGAAGCUUUUCGGAGUGUAAACUGCUUUUCUGAAGGAAGAUUAUGACGGUACUUCAGGAAUAAGGAUC